GUGUACAUGUAUGUGUGCUUGUAUACAUGUAUGCACACACACACACACACACACACACGCACACACACACA
This 71-nucleotide microRNA precursor is filed under the name Procavia capensis (Cape rock hyrax). RNAcentral describes it as "miRNA (ENSPCAG00000019766.1)". The record is from RNAcentral. Lineage: Eukaryota; Metazoa; Chordata; Mammalia; Hyracoidea; Procaviidae.